CGAAAGCCUGACGGAGCAAUACCGCGUGAGGGAGGAAGGUUCUUGGAUUGUAAACCUCUUUUCUCAGGGAAGAAAAAAAUGACGGUACCUGAGGAAUAAGCAUCGGCUAACUCCGUGCCAGCAGCCGCGGUAAUACGGGGGAUGCAAGCGUUAUCCGGAAUUAUUGGGCGUAAAGAGUCCGUAGGUGGUCUCACAAGUCGACUGUCAAAGCCCGCAGCUUAACUGCGGAGAGGCGGUGGAAACUGUGAGACUAGAGUAUGGUAGGGGUAGAGGGAAUUCCCAGUGUAGCGGUGAAAUGCGUAGAUAUUGGGAAGAACACCGGUGGCGAAAGCGCUCUACUGGACCAUAACUGACACUCAGGGACGAAAGCCAAGGUAGCG
This 380-nucleotide ribosomal RNA is filed under the name uncultured cyanobacterium. RNAcentral's name for it is "bacterial SSU rRNA". It matches the Rfam family "Bacterial small subunit ribosomal RNA", at positions 376 to 770 of the family's 1533-position model. Lineage: Bacteria; Bacillati; Cyanobacteriota. The record is from RNAcentral.